AUUGUUGAACCCAUUUCAUUAGCAAUGGUACCUUAUGUACAUACCCAGAAUUGUGUAAUUCAAUAUCUUCUCAAAGAUAGUGAAAUUUAUUACAUGACCAAUCUUAAAGAAUUGUAAAUUUACCAGCCUCUUGCUGGACAACUACGACCUUACACACCGUAAGUAUAAUCUAAAUCAUACCAACUGCAUAUCAUACUACUUUCCCUUUGUAGUAAUUACGUGGAAAUCAACAAAGUAUUUCCUAUCUGCGAUAAUUCGAUUACAUACCAAUAUCACCACUCCAGCAUACAUCAAUGGGCUCUCACAAAAAAAUAGGGAUCUAUGUGAGAAAUAAAAAAUUUAUCCGUCAAUCAAAAUUAUUCAUAGCCCGUAUGCUGAUUGCAUCAGCAAGAAGGACAUUUCUGACAUUAGGGGGAGAUUAGUACCACAAAAAAUGCCUAGAAAUAAAUUAGAAAUGUUAUUCAUAUUCAGUCC
This 474-nucleotide long non-coding RNA is filed under the name Hordeum vulgare. RNAcentral describes it as "long non-coding RNA (HVUL_LNC009531)". The record is from RNAcentral. Lineage: Eukaryota; Viridiplantae; Streptophyta; Magnoliopsida; Poales; Poaceae.